AAUACAUCCGCGUAAUCGACCCUAUAAAUAGACUUCGACAGAGAGCCAAAUGUUCCAUGCUGGUUUGUAUUGUUGAUUUUUCUUUUUUUUUAUGAUAUGAUGAUUUGGUGCUCUUCCUUUGAAUUUUGCAUUGAUUGAUCAAGAUUUAUACGAUUCUGAGGUCUUGCGAUCAUCUUUGUAGACAGAGGAGGAGGAACGUUACGGGUUCGCUGUUAGUUCUGUUUUUCUUUUGCUAAUUUAUUGAUUCGUUCUUGGUGUUUAUUUGAUCAGGAUUGGGCAAUAAUGAUAGGAGAAUGAUUAUGGGUACCCUUGCAGUGCAUUUAUUUUCUGAUUGAUUAAUGGGUAACCAUUCUAGAUGCAAUUUCGGGAGAAUCGAGUUUUGCUUCCAGGUUUUGAGAAAUUCUGACGUUUUUGUUGUGAGAAAUCCCGUGUUUUUGUUACCCUAUUUACUAUGAAGCCCAACGAUUUCCAGAAGUGGAAAUUUGGAUCUUGAGAUGAAUGAGUCCCAUCUUCUUUUCUUGGACUUAUCAGUUUGGAUAUGAUAUCUUUAAUGCUAAUUUUGAUGUUGAUCAUGGUUCUCCUCGCUCAACUUAUUUGGCGCGUCGUUAAUAGCUGUCAAGAAUACAUGGGGGCAUCUAGGUGCAAGUGGUUGUACAGGAAUUAGUGUCUUGCUUUGAUGUUCAUCUCGGGGAAGAUAAAGCAGUUCCCCGGUUUUUACUAUUGGUACUUGAUUUUUCAGUCUCUCAAAAUUUUGUCAAAACUGCUUAUGGAAGUUCUCAACUAUGAUGAUUCUAUUCAUUUGUGUGUAUACGGCGUUCUGCUCCACUUAUAUAGUUCAGAUGCUCAUGUUCUUUGACGAUCCCCUUAUCUCUAGUGGUUUUAAUUGUGCUGUGAAGUGCUCCUCUGCCUUUUGUGUCCUAGCUACUUAUAUUCUCUUUGCUUCCAUUUUCCGUUGGUUAUCAGGCCUGCUUGAUUUUGUUUGUUGGUGAAUAUGUGUGUAGACCACAUGCUGACAUUAAUAGAGGAUUAUUUUUGGAUACUUCAAAGGCUUGUAUAAAGUAUGAUUAUUUUUGGAGACUUCAAAGGCUUGUAUAAAGUAUGCAUUGGUGCGCGCCUGUGUCUUCGUCUAUUUAGUGUUUGCACUCCAAGAUGGAUAUUGCAAGGGUUGGACUAAUGGGGUUUUUCGAUUGGGUCUUGCAUCUCUAGUGGUUUCUCAGGUGAUGAGGGUUUUGUCAGCUUUGCACUGGACUGUUUCUUUCUUUCUGUGCUUGCAGUUGGGUUUAACCAAGUAUUGGAUUGUUCUUUUCAUGGAGGUUUUUGUAUGGAAAUCCGUGUUGAGGUUUUUCUAUUUCUGGUUUUGUGUAUCGAGAUUUUCAUUUUAGUUUUCUUCCCAAAUCAGAGUGGUCCCUCCUCUCUUUGUCGAUAAUUGCCUCUAAAUGGAAGUUCCCAGCUAAAAAUAGUUUUUUUUGGCCCUAGAGUUGUAUUCUGCUGCUGUUUUUAGUUCAGAUGCUUGUGUUGUUCGCCAAAAAAUAACGAGAUCCACCUGGUGGUUGGUGGGUAUAUGGUCUAAUUGCAGCUGAUAAGUGAUCAACACUCGAUCCUAGAUCUCUUGACCAAACCCACCAAGUGUGUCGGUCUCCUUUUGGUAUAUUUUCGCUGCUUAUCUUCUCUUCUUCCUGUUUGUUGUGUCACCCUAGCUUGAUUUUAUUUGUUGGACGGGUGAUAGUCAAAAGGAUCAGACUUGGAAAAUUUUGAAGGUUGAUGCCCAGUGCAUGUUCCUGUUCAACUUGUUUCUCUGUCAUUUCAGAGCUGUCACUGCAAUCUGAUAAUGCAAGAUAGAGGGGUUUCUCAAUCCUGAUACUUUGCCAUUUUUGUGCUUGCACCAUAGUGUAAAUAUUAUCAGGCUUCGGGAGAGGGGUUUUUCAACCCUGUCUUGCAUUCUCUAGUGGGUUUCGUCAGCUUUGCAUGUAACUCUUCCCUUCAUUCCUUUGCUUCCAGCUAUUGGGUCUUACUCUUACAUAUGUUGAGGCUUUUCUAGUUCAGCCUUUUUUUAGUAUCAGUAGUUUUCAAUUUAGUUUUCUUACCUCCCGACUCUUCUGUGUUGGUCAAAACUAGUGUUUGUAAGAAAGUUCCUAUUACGGUAUUAUUUUUGACCAGUGUGGUGUAUUCCUACUGCCAUGAAGUCCUUAAUCUCGACCUAUAUGUCCUUUGAUGAUCCAAGUGAUGAGGUUAACUAUGGUGAUGGGGUCUUUUAUGUCUGUGGACAGCUGAAUAAGUACUCGGCCAAUUCUAGAUUGCUGAGAGUGACAUAAAAACACUGAUUUGCUUUUGAUAUUGUAGCUACUGAUGUUCUGUGUUUCCGAUUUUGGUGAUACUGUUAUAGACAUUCAGAUUUGGAAGUUUCAAAACUUGGGUAUAACCAACAUGUAAUCCUCUGUCAUCUUUUUAUCUUUUGGUCUUUGGUGCUUGCACUGCAAUUUUAAUAUUGUCCGGGUUGUGACAUAAGGUUUUUUCUGGUCUUGUCUAUGGCAUAUUUAGUGAUUACAUGGGUGGUUUUAGGGUUCGUCAAAUUUGCACUCAACUGUUCCUUUUAAUUUAUGCAGUCAUUGAACCACAGGCAGUGGAUUAUUCUUUUCAUGAAGCGGCCUUAUCCGUUCGUGUUGAGGUUUCUUUAGCAGUCUCUUUUAUGAGUAUUGAGAUUUUCGAUUCAAUUUUCUUUCCUUGUGGAUCCUUGUUUUCUAUCAGAGCUAUUGUUGAAGGGAAGUUUUUUGAUUAAGAUAAUAUUUUCUUGCAAGUGUGUGUUGUGUUCUGCUGCCAAGAAGCUUUUAUUCCAGAGAAACUUCAGUGAUCCAGCUGAUGAGGUCUCCCCUUAUUAUGGGUACAAUCACUUGAUAAGUACUCAGUCUGUGGAUCUAUCUCUCCAUGAAGCGCUGCUUCACUUUUGGUUUUCUAGCUACAUAUAUUAUUUGCGGCAAUUUUUUUGUUGGAUGAAUGUGUAGACUAUAUGGUGAAAAUAUUAGAGGUUAGGGUUUGGAGAUUUCAAAGGUUGAUAUCUAGUAUAGUAUCUGGUUCGGGUUUUAUGAAUACUGUGAUUCUCAGUCCCUCUUCUCUUCAUAAAAAAUGACUGUUAUAUGGAAGUUCCCAGCUAAGUUAGUUUUUUUUGCACUAAGUCACCGGUUUCAAAAAAAAAUAAUUUUUCUUAGUGUGUGUUGUGUUCUACUGUCGUUUUUAGUUAUAGUUCAGAUGCUUGUGUUCUUUGAUGAUCCAUUUGAUGAGAUUCCUGGUUUGUUGGUGGGUGGGUAUAUGGUCUUAUUGACGCCUGAUAAGUCAUCAAAACUCAAUCCUGAAUCUCUUUACAGCCCCAUCAAGUGGGUCCGCUCUCUGUUUCAUGUUUGUUGUAUCACUCCAACUUGAUUUUGUUUGUUGGAUGGAUGUAAGUUGAGGAUUAGUAAAAUUGUGAAGGUUGAUGCCAGUGUCCAUGCUUGUGCAACCUGUUUAUCUGCCAUUUCUGUGCUGGUACUCGAUCUGAACAUUGUAAGGCAAGAUAGAGGGGUUUCUCAAUCUUUGUUCUUUGCAAUUUUUGUGAUUGCACCGUAAUAUGGAUAUUAUCAGGCUACAAGAGGGGUUUUUCAAUCUGUUGCAUCCUCUAGUCGGUUCAAUCAACUUUGCAAGUAAUUCUUUCUAUCAUUCCUUUUCUUACUGUCAUUUGGUCUUACAGAGCAGUGGAUUCUUUUUUUUAAAUGGACUGACCUUGUUUGUCCAUGUGCGUUGAGGCCUUUUUAUUUCGGUCUCUUAUGAGUAUCAAUAAUAAUAAUUUCAACUUAAUUUUCUUCCCUCAUGGCUCUUAUCUUUUUCAUAACUACUGUUGUAUGGGAUAUUCUCAAUUAGGAUGUUAUUUUUGACCAGUGUGUUGUAUUUCUGCAGCCAUGAAGCUCUUAGUCCGGAAGCAUAUGUUCUUUGAUGAUCCAAGUUAUGAGGUUUCCUAUGUAGAUGGGGUCUUUUGUGGCUAUGGACACCUGAAGAAGUACUGGGUCAAUCCUAGAUCUUUUGAUAGUGAUGUAAAAUACCUCUUUACUUCCGUUCUUCAAGCUACUUAUUAUCUUCUGUGCUUCUAAUUUUUUUCAUUAUCAUGAUAGUUUAUUUUGGUUGGAUAGAUGUGUAGCGAUAUGGUGGAACUUUUAUAGACAUUCAGAUUUGGGAAGUUUAAAGUUUGGUUUUAAUCAAACAUGGGAUCCUCUACCACCUUUGUCUUUUUGGUGUUUGCACUGCAAUUUGUAUACUGUCUGGGGUUUGACAAAAGGGUUUUUUCAGUCUCUUCUAUGGCAUAUUUAGUGAUUACAUAUGGGUGAUUAUGGGGUUUGUUAGAUUUGCACUCCACUGUUCCUUUCUUUUUAUUUGUGCAGCCAUAUUUUACAGGGCAGUGAAUUAUUCUUUUCAUGGAGUGGCCGUGUUUAUCCGAUUGGGUUAAGGCCUUUUUACUUCAGUCUCUUAUGAGUAUCAAUAAUUCUCAGUUCAAUUUUCUUCCCUCAUGGCUCUUAUCUUUGUCUUUUUUACUUUAUCAAUAGUUUCCAAUUCAAUUUUCUUCCCUCAUGGCUCUUAUCUUUGUAAUAACUGCUAUCGUAUUGGGAUUUUCUCAAUUAGGAUAUUAUUGUUGACCAGUGUGUUGUAUUUUUGCUGCCAUGAAGUUCUUAGUCCGGAAGCAUAUGCUCUUUGAUGAUCCAGGUUAUGAGGUUUCCUAUGUUGAUGGGGUCUUUUGUGGCUAUGGACACCUGAAUAAGUACUAGGCCAAUCCUAGAUCUUUUGAUAGUGAUGUAAAUUGCCUCUUUACUUCUGUUCUUCUAGCUACAAUAGCUUCGGUGCUUCCAAUAUCUAUCAUAAUCAUGAUAGAUUAUUUUGGUUUGAUAGAUGUGUAUCGAUAUGGUGGAACUAUUAUGGACAUUCAGAUUGAAAGCUUGGUCUUAAUCAACAUGUGAUCCUCCGCCACCUUUCUCUUUUUGGUGUUUGUACUGCAAUUUGUAUAUUGUCCGGGCUUUGACAAAAGUGGUUUUUCAGUCUCGUCUGUGGCAUAUUUAGUGAUUACAUAUGGGUAAUUUUGGGGUUUGUUAGAUUUGCACUCAACUGUCUUUUUCUUUUAAUUUGUGCAGCCAUAGUUUACAGGGCAGUGAAUUAUUCUUUUCAUGGAGUGGCCGUGUCUAUCCGAUUGUGUUGAGGGUCUUAUAUGAGUAUUGACAUUUUCAAUUCAGUUCCCUUUACUCGUGGCUGCCUUUUCUCUGGCAAAGCUAUUGUUGUAUGGAAGAUUUUUGACAAGGAUAAUAUUUUUUUACAAGUGUGUAUUGUGUUCUGCUGCAAUGAGGUUUUUAAUCCAGACACUUUGUUCUUCAAUGAUUAAACUGAUGAAACUGAUGAGGUCUCUUAUGGUUGUAGUCACUUGAUAAGUACUCGGUUUGUGGAUCUUACCUCUCCAUAAGUUGCUCCUCUACUUCUGGUCUUCUGGCUACAUAUGUUCUUUGCUGCCAUUGUCUUUCGGUUAUCACAACUCAUUCUUUUUGUUGGAUGGAUGUGUAGAUAUAUGGUGACAAAAUUAGAGGUUAAGAUUUGGAGAUUGAUAAGGUUGAUAUCAAGUAUGAUAUCCAAUAUGGCAUCUCUGUACCCUCUUGAUCUUUUUCAGUUCUUGCACUGCAAUUUGGAUAUAUUUUCAGGGGCUUCAACGAACAAGGGUUCUUAAUAGUUUAUGUGGCAUCUCUGGUGGUUUCUUUGGUGGUGUGGGUUUUCGUUAACUUGGAACUUCAUUAUACCCUCUUCUUUUUGUGCUUUUAGCCAUUGGGUCUCAAAGAGCGGUGGAUUGUUCUUUUCAUGGAAGUUCAGACUUUUAUGAGUACUGGGAUUACAACUAAAAGAGUUUUUGUUUUCACUACUGUCACAUAUUUUACCGUCGUUUUUGAUUUUUAGUCGAGAUGCUUAGUUUCUUCAACUAUUGAAUUAAUGAGUUUCCAGAUGGUUGAUGGUUAUGGUCUAUGGACACCUGACGAGUACUUGCUGCUCAUUUUUCCGCUUCCUUUUUCUUGUAUUUUUCCAGCUUGAAAGUUGAGGGGAUUAGACCUGGAGGAUUUGAAGGUUGGUGUACAGUUUUGCAUCCUGGGCAGUCCUGUUUCUUGGCCAUGUUAGUGCGCACACUACAAUCUGGAUACCAUCAGAGGCUUCGAAAGAAGGCAUUUCUUGAUCUUGUUUGGCAUUUCUAGUGAAUUCUAGGUGGUACAGGCUUCACCAGCUUUGCACUUACCUGUUUCAUUUUUUUGGUGCUUGCAGCUGUUGGGUCCUACAGAGUCAUAGAUUCUUCUUUUCAUGUAGCGGCCUUCUUUGAAUUGUGUUGAGGUUUUCUGGUUGAUGCUUUAAAGAUUAUUCAGAUCUUCAAUUCAAAUUUCUUCCAUUAUCAGAUGGUUCCCUUCUCUCUUUGCACUGCUUCACUAGUGUGUAUUUUGUUGCUAUUUUUUAAGUAAUGCAGAUGCUUAUGUUUUUUGGUGAUCCAAUUGAUGAGAUCUCCAUGGUUAUGGGCACUUGAUGAGUGUAUCUGAACUCAGGCCUGGAUCUUUUGAUAGCCCUGUUUGUAGGCCACAUCACCAUGUAUGAUAGUAAGAGGAUAAUUUUUAUAAAUUUUUUGGUUUGGUUUCGAUGUGCAUCCCUGUGGACCCUAUUUCUUUGCAUUCAGGUGCUUGCACCCCAAUCUGGAUGAUUGGGUAUCACCAGGGUUCAAGGUAUGAAUUUUUCUGUUGCAUUUUUUGGCAUCUCUAGUGAGUGAUCUCUCCGCGUAGUAUGAGUUUCCCAUGUUUUAUACUUGUUUCGUUCCUUUUGUGCAUGAAACCAUUGGGUCUUCCACAUAAUGAUCUCUUACUCAGCGGAUCCCUUUUCUCUUUGUCAAAACUACUAUUGCGUGGAAGUUCUCUACAGUGGUAAUAUUCCAACUAAUGUGUUGUAGUCUGCUUCCUGUUUGUUGCAUCACUCCUGCUUGAUUUUGAUUUGUUUGUUGGAUGGAUGGCGGUUGAGAGGAUUAGAUUUCGGAAGUUCUGAAGGUUGAUGCCCAGUGUUCAUUCCUCUGCACCCUGUUUCUUUGCCAUUUUUGUGUUUUCACUCACUCUGAUAUUAUCAGGCUUCAACAGAUGAGGUCUCUUAUGGUUAUAGACACCUAAUAAGUACUCCGUCAAUUUUGGAUCUUUGACAGUGCCAUUAAGUGCUCCUGUACUUCUGGUCUUCUAGCUCUACAUGUGUGUUUUCCUGCCAUUUUCUUUUGGUAGUCACAACUACUUAUUUUUGUUGGAUGGAUGUGUAGACAAUAUGGUGGCAGUAUUAGAGGUUAAAGAUUUGGAAAUUUCAAAGAUUGAUUUCCAGUAUGCCAUCUGUGUACCCUGUUAGUCUUUUUGGUUCUUGCACAGUUUGCACUAUAAUUUUCCCUCUUAGUAUUUUUGGUUCUUGCACUGGCAAUCCGGAUACAUUGGUCAGGGCUUCAACAAAGAAGGGGUUUCUUAAAUAUCGUCUACAUGGCAUCUCUAGUGAUUUGUUAGGUGGAAUGGGUUUGUCAGUUUUGGACUUGAUUGUACCCUUCUUUUUGUGCUUGCAGCCAUUGGGUCUUAUGGAGCAAAUAUUCUUUUGAUGGAGCGGCUUUGUUUGUACAAUUUAUGUUCGAGAUUUCCAUGGUUCAGGCUUGUAUGGGCACUGGGAUUUUCAACUAAAUAAUUUUUUUAUGCUUAUUUUCUUCAAUUAUCCAAUUUAUAAGAUUUCUGAUGGUUAUGGUCUUGUGGAUACCUAACAAGUACUCAAUUUUGGAUCUUUUGAAAGUCUUGUAAAAUGGUCCUCUCUUAUGUUGUCCUCGCUGCUCACAUUCUCUGAUUCCUUAUACUUGUAUUACACUAGCUUGAUUUUGUUUGUUGGAUGUAUGUAUGGUGAAGUUGAGGGGAUUAGUCGUGGAAGAUUUUGAUGGUUGGUGUACUGUGUUCGUUGUGCUUGCACUAUAAUAUGGAUAUUGUCAAGAGGCUUCGAAAAAGGCGGUUCUCAAUCUUGUCUUGGUAUUUCUAGUAGAUUCUAGGUAGCAUGCUUCACCAACUUUGCACUUAACUGUUCCAUUAUUCCUGUGCUUGCAGUCGCUGGGUCUUACAGAGCCGUAGAUUUUUCUUUUCAUGGAGUGCCUUGUCUGUCAAUAUGUUUAGGUUUUUAGGUUGAUGCUUUUAAUAUCAUUGGGAUCUUCAAUUCAGUUUUCUUCCGUAAUCAGAAUUGUUCUUGUUCCCUUCUCUACUUGUCAGCACUGCUUCACUAUUAUGUAUUUGUCGCCAUAUUCUUUCUUUUAAGUAAUCCAGAUGCUUAUGUUAUUUAGUGAUGCAACUGAUCAAUUCUUGCUACUUGCCUUCUCUGUGUUCGUUUAGCCUACCAAUUGAUUAAAUUUGGUUGGAUGACUUGUUUGCCACAUGGUGAUAUGAUAGUGAAGAGGAUACGUUUUGGAAAUUUUGUAGUUUGCGUUCGGUGAGCAUCAUUGUGGACCCCGUUUCUUGCCAUUUUGGUGCAACCUGGAUAAUUGGAUGUCACCAUGCCCCAAGAAAAGGCCAGUUGAAUAUAUUGUUUGGCAUUUCUAAUGACCCUUCGUGGUAUGGGUUUCCCAUGUUCUGCACUUACCGGUUUCGUUCUUCUUGUGCAUAACCGUUGGAUCUUCCUGAGAGCGAAUUUCAAUUCAGUUUUCUUCUUAAUCAGUGGGUGCCUUUUCUUUUUGUCAAAAUAGCAAUGAUAAUAUCUUCCACUAGUGCGUGUGUUGUACUUUGCAGCUGUGAAGCUUUUAGUGUAGUUGCUUAUUUUCUUGGAUGAUCCAACUGAUGAGAUCCCUGAUUGUUAUGGUCACCUGAGAAAUAUAUUAGAUUUUCUUAUGGAUCUGAGAGCGCUCCUAUAAUUUGGUGCAUUCUUGCUACUUAACUUCUCUGCUCCUGUUUUCUUAUGUUUAUCGUGCCACUUUGUAUUGUUUGUUUGGGUGGAUCUGUGUAGAGCACAUGGUGACAGUGAGGGGAUCGGAUUUGGUGGUCUCUAAGUUUGGCUUCAGUGUGUAUCCUUGUGCACCCUGCUUUUUUGUCCAAAAAUACAAUUUAGCUCAAGCGCAUGCAUAAUAUGUAAGAUUCACAUUUAGUGCAGGAUUUGGUGGUUUCGAAGGUUGGCUUCAGUGUAUAUCCUUGUGCACCAUGCUUUUUUGCUGUUUUGGUGCUUGCACGCAAUUUGGAUAUCAUCAGGCACCGAGGGAAGGAGUUUCACGAUCUUUCCUGGCAUCUCUAGUGAUCUCUUCUAAUGUGGCGUGGGUUUCAUGGCUUUGCAUUCUUGACUUUUCCUUUUUUUUUCUUGUGCCUACUGUUGUUGGGUUCGAAGAUAAGUGACAGUGAGGGGAUCGGAUUUGGUGGUCUCGAAGUUUGGCUUCAGUGUAAGUGCUGUUAUGCAGAAGUCCUCAACUACGACAAUUCUUUCCACAAGUUCGUUUUCAGCGUUUAUUCCAGAUGUUUAUGUUUGCUGUGAUCCAACUGAUGAGGUCUCUCGUGGGUGUGGACAUUUUGGUAAGUACUUGGUAAUUUUUGGAUCUUUUCAUAGCCCUGUUAAGUGCUCAUCUACCUUCCAUGUCUUGCUUCUUAUCUCCAUUCUUCUGUUUCGUCUGUUGGAAGGAUGAAUAUACCACAUAGCGAACAAUAUUGGAGGAUAGUAGGAUCUAUAUACAAUAUAGUGAACAGUAUGGGGGGGGGGGACUAGAUAGUGAACUGGUCAUUAAGGUGCUUGCACGACAAUCUGGAUAUUGGUGGUGCUUUGAGAAGAAGGGGGUUUCUAAAUGUUGUCUACGUCAGUUCUAGUGAUUUCCCAAGUUGUUUGGGUUUUGCCAAUUUGGCACACUGUUCCUUCUUUCUGUGUUUGCAGUUGUGUUCUUAAAGAAGUAAAAUUCUUCUUUCCAAGGGGCUGCUUUUGUUUGUUGAUUCAUGUUGAUGUUUCAUUUGGUUCAAGCUCCUGCGAGUGCCGAAUUUUUCAGUUCAGCUCUCUUCUCUUGGUCAGUAUGAUAUUUUUUUUUACUGUACACUCUUUGAAGUGGUGCUCUUCUUGUUGUGAGUUUAACUGAGAAUUUAGCACGACAGUGGUGGUUACCGUACAUGGUCAUAUCAUCCAAUUUUUGAUUUUUUUUAUUGGGUUAUCUGCAAACAUAAUCACUAUUUUCAGACUUAUUAUAGUUGGGUUAUGAAGCCUUUUUUUUGAAAGUUACCUAUUUCAAAAAAUAAUAUAAAAUUGAAGCUUCUGUAUUAUUCUUGGUGGUUCCUCCCCUAUUUUUUUUGAACAUGCCUGUUAUGUUUCAGAGAUUCAGUCAUUUGAGGAGUUGCUUCAGACUGUUAACUGUAAUUUAAAACUUUAAUGUAGAAAGAGAGAUUUCACACUUUCUCUCUCUUUGAAACAUUGCCAUUUGAACAUUCUUUGCAUCAAAGAGCUAGCGGCAAUUCGUUGGAUCUAGAAGAGAUCAAGUAAAUAACUUGGUUCAUCUCUUGCAAGUUGGGAAUUUUUUCAACAAAUCUUGUUCUUCUACUCCCGAGUUAAGGUUUGCACUAAUUUUCUUAAUAUGGUUGAAAUCACCAUUGGCCAUAUAGGUAACCUUUGUUCUGUCAUCAAAAUCCAUCACAUAUCAGAUCAUCGUGCAAGUUGGGAAUUUUUCAAUAGAUCUUGUUCAUCUAAAUACUCUUCCGAAUCAAGGAAACGACAUUUUGGUGAAUAGGCUCCGACUAUGAUUUCAGGUGAAGGUUCUUAGGAAUUCUCUUGGGAUACUUGGCCUCUAGUGCUUCGGAUGUCCCUGGGUUUGCAGAUUUGUCUUCAAGUUAGACGUUGCUGUAAAUUCUCUCUUUUGUUGGUUUCUCGAGGCAUCCAAGGACUUCCUGUUUAGGUUAUCCCAAUUUCUUUUUAAUUCAACCUGAGGCAAUAUGAUAGUAAGGGUAUAGACCAUGCUGUGUCUGCUGUUGGAUGCUAGAUCUCUCAAUUCUUUUGUAACAAAGUAAACCUCUUCUCCGGUACCAACAGCAGAUCAUCUUUUCUAGCAUCCCCUUUUCUGGAGCAGUAUUAGUUCAAGCUUUGAUACGCUCAAACUUACUUCUCAAAUAAGAAGUAAGCGGUCGUGUCAAGUAAAUAACCCAACUAGUGAGGUUGGAAUCGUUCCCACGAGGAAAAUAGUCUAGACUUAACUUCAA
Long non-coding RNA from Solanum pennellii, 11228 nucleotides. RefSeq lists it as uncharacterized. Lineage: Eukaryota; Viridiplantae; Streptophyta; Magnoliopsida; Solanales; Solanaceae. The record is from RefSeq and is a predicted model, not a curated record. The transcript has 4 exons.